RNAcentral lists this non-coding RNA (3102 nucleotides) under Pan troglodytes (chimpanzee). The record is from RNAcentral. Lineage: Eukaryota; Metazoa; Chordata; Mammalia; Primates; Hominidae.
GAGACAGAAUCUUGCUCUGUCACACACACACACACACACACGCAAAGUUCAAAUUGCAGAUUUCAAACUAGCUUUAAAAUAUAACGAACCAAGCACAUCAAAUAUACUAAAUAAUGUAAUAACUUAGACACCUUUGCCCAUCAUAUUAAAAAUAAAAAAAAAAAACACAACCUUUCUUAGUGAAAAAAUUUUAUCUAAUAGUGUCAAGCCAUUGAUUCAAUGACCCCACCUUUUCUGGGUUAUUUUAAAAAUGGGAAGAGGGCCAGGUGCGGUGGCUCAUGCUUACAAUCCCAGCACUUUGGGAGGCUAAGGAUUAUAGGCGUGAGCCACCAUGUUUGUCCAGCAAAGUCAAUUUGAAUGUCACAUCUAGCCCCCAAAAUGGUGUCAGAAUGGAAACAUCUCAGUGUGACAAACUAGAUGAACUACAGAAUUUAGCAGACUCAUUACCCAAAGAAAAUGAGGCUUAGGCUAAAAAACAAAACAGAUACACAAAUAUGUAACAAACAAGUAUUAACUUGAAUUGCAAAGGGAAAAUCGAUUUACAUGAGAACAUUAAACUACUGCCACUAUCAUCAGAUGUAUUACUGCCAUGGUAAGAACUCUGGGUUCAUACACAUUUAAUAAGUAAAUAAAUGUAUCUAUAAUUGUAAGAUUUGGGGAAGCUAAUUGCUAGUAAUUUGCCAUAAAACUUAAGUUCAUUACUGACCCUGAUGGAGAAAAUGAGAAAGGCUUGCUGAACUGCCCAGAAGCAGAUGGGGUCGAAGUCACAGCUGUUUCUAUCUUGGCUGUCCCUGAAAUUAUGAAAAAACAAAAAAACAAAAAAAACAAAAAGAAUAUUACAAAAAGACAGAAACACUGUUCCAGUGUAUAAUUCCCUGUAGCUCAGCCUGUGAGGUGCUGCUUAGCACCGCAUGUGCCUUCUGUGACACAUCAGUGGCCAUGGGGAGUGAGCACGUUGCCUCACUUGUGUUCGAGGUCUCUGAAAUUGCUCCGUGGCUCUGUCAAUGUUAAUUCCAGUCUAAGGUGUGCCAUCUUCUCCUUUACAGAAAAUAUAUCAAAAUAAUUCUAGUAUAGUUUAAAUGUACAGUUUUAAAAGUAUACUCUUAUAUAUUUCAAUGGUAUGGGAAAAUGCUUAUAAUGUGAGGCUAAGCCCCCUCCCCACAAAAGUAAAUAAAACUAUAUAUAAUGUAGCUUUAUAAUUAUUUGAAAUUAAUCUAUGCUGAAGGACGAAAAUCCAAAAGAGAAAUAGGUUCAUAAGCUAAAUAUUUCUGAGUAGUGACUUUAAGGCUGUUUACUUCUAUGUACAUUUCUGCAUUUUCCAUAGAUUUUGUUGGCAUUUAACAAAUAAUCGUGUUCUUUUUUUAAAAUUACAGAUGUAAAACAUGAUUGCUAUAAUAUGGAGACAUGCAAGAAGGUUAAAAGUGCAAUCCAUCAUUCUCCCCAUGUUUGAUUUCACUCUAACUACUUACUUAUAGUUUGGGUACAAUCUUCAAUCUUUUCCCUACUGCUCUACUUUAUUUAUUUAUUUAUUUAUUUAUUUAGAGACAGAGUCUCGCUCUGUCGCCCAGGCUGGAGUGCAGUGGCGCAAUCUUGACUCACUGCAAUCUCUGCCUCCCAGGUUCAAGCGAUUCUCCUGCCUCAGCCUCCCAAGCAGCUGGAACUAUAGGCAUGCACCACCAUGCCCGGCUAAUUUUGGUAUUUUUUUUUUAGUAGAGACAGGGUUUCAUCACGUUGGCCAGGCUGGUCUCGAAUUCCUGACUUCAGGUGAUCCACCUGCCUUGGCCUCCCAAAGUGCUAGGAUUACAGACAUGAGCCACCACGCCUGGCCUUGCUCCACUUCAAAAGGGGGAAAGGGAAGAGGAAAACUAUUUAAAAAGCCCAAAUCAAACGAAACUAAACCAAACAACAACAAGGAAAAAAAAAAAACCAACCUUCUAAAAUAAACAAACACAGAGUAGAUGGCAGUACAAAUAUUUUUAAAACUACUGGUAUACAAUGUAAAAUGUACAGGAUGAAAAGUCACAAUCUAAAUCAUCAGCAGAGUACUAGUUAAGUUUAACAGGGUGUAACUACACAAUGAGGUUGUAGACAGCUCUUAAAAUGAGUAAGGUGGAUCUGUAUCAGACCUGCAGGGACCAAGACAUUUAUUGUAAGAGGGGGCAGAGAAGGGGAAAUAAGUUACAAAAUCAAUAUAUAUAGGAUAUGCAGUAUAUAGGAUAUUUUUCUUUAAAAAACAAUGAAGUAACCUCAAGAGAUAUACAUGAAAUCAUGAUCUCUGGAAUACAGAAUCUAUAGGGCAGCUUUCACAUUCUACAUUAUAUAUCUCUACACCAUAGACUUUUUCUGGGCAUGUAAUAGUUUUACAAUCAGAAAAACAAUGAAGGUAUUUCCAUUACUAAUAAGAGAACUAUUCUCUAGAGGUUUUAGAAAUGCUCUUUUUCAAAAAGAAACUUUUUGCAAACUCUUAAGCAGCACCUUUCAGAGAAGUUUUCCUACCAAAAGAAAAAAGUUCUUUUCUAAACCUUGAUUACCUGGCAAGUGAAAACAGAAGUGAACACCUCGUAAUGAAAGAGAGGAUUUCAUGAUCAGCAAUGAAUGGUGAAUCUCGGAAAUUUCUUGCAAGUCACACUACUUGCCCAGACAUGCAUAAAGCAAAGUUCCUUAGGUUUCUUUGAUUCUAACUCCAAGAGUGACAAAAACCUCUCCAAUGAAGUCCUUGAAAAAAGAGUAUAUGAUCUUUCAAAACCUUUUUGUAAAAUACUCAAGUCUUUGACAGUUCUACUAUAAAAUUUUCCUUUUAACAUAAAGCUUUAGGCCCCGGUCGAGAAGUGCUAGAUACCUCCUUCUCAUGUGAGGCGUACAUGAUACCAACUGUGGUUCCAUAUCACUCCGAAUUCUAGAAUACAACUCUGGCUUAUGCAAUAAUGGCUUCCUUCUGCAAGGAAUAGCUACUAAAGAUAAAUCCAGUAUCCAAUCAGAAAGUUUGGGAUUACAGAGAAAGUCAGAAUGACUGUAUGAUUAAGAUUAUGAGACGCAGGCUGCUAAUGUAUGAAGUUCAAUUUCUAACAGAAUUUGCUUGAAGGCCCACUUAAGAGCAUGAUU